AUCACGCAAAUAAGGAAAGAGGGUAUAGGAUUAAACAUGUACAUAAGUAAAUAAGGGAAAAGGAAAGAGGUGAAACAUGGUAAUAAACAGUUAAGGAAGAGGAAACGGUUGAGACAUGGAAAGAAGACAGUAAAUAAGACAACAAAAUGAUAACUAAGCAUGAUAAACAUCUAGCAAAUAAUAAAAGAACCAAAAUAAAGUAAACCCCACAUAAAUAAGCAUGAAACACGUAAUGAUAAGAACCUAACAUCCCGAGCAGAGUCGCCACUCUGUCGCGCCCCAUUUUUUUAAAAAAUGGGUCUUGUGCACGACCUAACAACUCUUUUGGGAUUUGGACUUAGGAGUCGCCACCUAACGAAUUAAGGAGUGUUAGGGCACCUAUCUAACCUAACUUAGUCUAGCUAAGGUCAACGAGCUAGAGAUCGAGGUAAGGGUUCAUAUUACCUCGAGGGAAAGGUGUUAGGCAUCUCUCGAGGUCCACAAAUGUGGGUCCUGACCGUAUCUCAUGCACUCUAUGUGGGGGUUACAAGUAGCAAAUAAGGUCACUUCAUUUAUUAGUUUAUUUAAGCUUGCUAAGUGAUAGCAAAUAUAAAACAAUUAAGACUAUUUUAUUAUUUUUAUUAAAUUAAACAUGCAAGGCUAGGUGAUAGAAAUAAAUAAACAAUCACGUUUGUUUUUAUUUAUUUAACAUACGAGACUAUGUGUUACACAAAUGGAACAAAGAGCUCGUAUUAUUAUUUUAAUUAAUAUUUAAAUAUGCGAUACUAAGCGAUAAAAUAUCAAACAAUUGAGAAGUAAAUUUAUUAUUUUUAAUUAAUUAUUUAAGCAUGCAAAACUAAAUGAUAACAAUAAAUAAGACAUUUUAAAAAAAUAAAGAUAAGCGAGGGGAUAGAAGAGAGGCAAAUAAAUAAGCAAACAAUUUUCUUAUUUUUAUUUUAACCUUCCCCUUCACCCCCGACCGACCAUGAUCUUCUCAGAAGGGUUAGAGUGUGAGCAUACCUGCUGGGACCCAAAAUAUAGUGAAAUAUGCCUUAGCGGGAAGAAGCUAGAGGACACUCUGGUCGAGGCCCAAAGCGAUACUAACAUGCAAAUCAUUCGUAUAACUUUGGUAUAUGGGAGAAAGACUAAUCAAACCAUCAAGUAGCUGGUUCCCUCCAAAGUUUCCCUCCGGAUAGCUGGAGCUCGCGUGCGAAUUCUAUCGGGUAAAGCGAAUUGUUAGAGGACUGGGGAGAAAAAUGCCGUCGACCCAUUCUCAAACAUUAAAUAGGUAGGACAGCGCGACUGUUUUUUUGAUCCGCGCCAUAUAAUCAAAAGCUACAACUUUGUCAUUUUAUAUAAUUAGAAUUGGCGAUGUGGGAUGAACCUAAAAAAGACGGGAUAUGGUUCCAAACUGCGCUAACCUAGAUUCCACUAAGGGUGUUGGUCGAUUAUGAAAGAAGGACGGUUGUCAUGGAAUUCGAAAUCCGAUAAGGAGUGUGUAACAACUCACUAGCCGAAUCAACUAGCCCUGAAUAUUGAUGGAAAUUAAGCAAGAUGAGUAGGAGGGCGUGGCGGUCGCUUUAAAACCUUGGGCGUGAGAGUAGGCGUAGUGGUCAUCGGUGCAAAUCUUGGUGGUAGUAACCAAUAUUCAAAUGAGAACUUUUAAAUCCGAAGAGAGGAAAGGUUCCAUGUGAAUGGAACUUGCACAUGCUUUAGUCGAUCCUAAAGGUUAGGGGAGCCCCGAGAGAUAGCAUGUUUCGCGCAUACUCCGAAAGGAAAUGAGGUUAAAUUUUCUGAAAGGUGAUGCGGCGGUUGACGCUAAAGUUAAAAAGUGUGGAGACAUCGACGGGAGCCUCGGGAAGAGUUAUAUUUUCUGUUUAAUAUCCUACCCACUCUAGAUUCGACUCAGGCGAAGGUAGGGUCCAGUAGCUGGAAGAGCACGGCACGUUGCGUGGUGUCCGGUGCACUCCUCGAGUCCCUUUAAAAUUAGAAGGAUAAUAUGUCAUCCAUGCCAGGUCGUACUCAUGACAGAAUCAGGUCUCCAAGGUGAACUACUUCUAGUCGAUGAAACAAUGUAGGCAAGGGAAUUCGGCACGGGGGUCCCACUCCCUAACCCGUCGGCUGUCGAUGGACUGCUCGAGCUGCUUCUACAGCGAGAACGAGUCACCACGUGCUGGCCGGGGGACGAACUGGGAAUGGUUCCUUCUGGCGCCUUCCCAGGGCAUCGAAAAGCCAACUCAAUACUAGUAAGUACAAGGGGAAUUCUACUGUUUAAUUAAAACAAAGCAUUGGGAAUGUCCCAACGGAUGUUUACUCAAUGUGAUUUCUGCCCAGUCUUUGAAUGUUUAAGUAAUGAAAUUCAACCAAGCACAGGUAAAUGGCGAGAGUAACUAUGACUGUCUUAAGGUAUCCAAAUGCCUCGUUAUCUAAUUAGUGACGCACAUGAAUGGAAUAACGAGAUUCCCAUUGUUCCUGUCUACUAUGCAGCAAAACCAUAUCCAAGGGAACGAUCUUGGCAGAAUCAGCGGAUAAAGAAGACGAGUUGAGCUUAAUUCUACUCCGACUUUGUGAAAUGACAUGAGAGGUGUAGUAUAAGUGGGAGAUGAAAGGCAAAAGUGAAAUACCGCUACUUUUAACAGUAUUUUACUUAUUCCGUGAAUCAGAAGUGGGGCACUUUCCCUCUUUUUCGACCCAAGGCUUGCUUUGCGGGCCAAUCUGGGCGGAAGACAUUGUCAGGUGAGGAGUUUGGCUAUUACGGCAUAUCUUGUUUAAGAUAACGCAAGUUUUCUAAGAUGACAUCAACGAGAACAAAGAUCUCGUGUGGGACAGGAGGUUAAAAUCUCAUUUGAUUUGGAUUUCCAUUACGAAUAAGAACCGUGAAAGCAAGGCCUAACGAUCUUUUAGACCGUUGGAAUUUGAUGCUAGCGCAGGGAUAACUGUCCAGUGGCAGCCAAACGUUCAUAGCGACGUUGCUUUUUGAUCCUUCGAUGUCCGCUCUUCCAAUCGUUCUGAACCAAAAUUCAGCAAGUGUUGGAUUGUUCACCCACCAAUAGGGACCGUGCGCUGGGUUUAGACCGUCUUGACACAGGUUAGUUUACCCUACUGAUAAUAUUGUCGCAAUAGUAAGUCAACCUAGUACUAGAGGAAUUGUUGAUUCACAAAAUUGGCCAUUGCUCAUGGUUGAAAAGAUAGUGGCGCGAACCUGCCAUGUGCUAGAUUAUUAGUGGAUGCCUCUAAGUAAUAAUUUGAACUCAAAAGUGAACCAUGCGCCCCCUGUACACUUGCCUAACAGAAGUGGGGGCCUUUAACCCCCAAGGGUCCGUGUCGUUAGCAAAGUCUCCGUGACGGAAGCGACGCGAUGACUGUGUUGAAGUACAAUUUCUAUCGAGCGGUAGGUAGAAUCCUGUUUAGAUGACUUUAGUAUGCAACUGGUAUUGUAACUGGCAGAGUGGACUUGGUACCACGGUCCACUAAGAUUCAUUCCUUUGUCGCUCCGAUUCGU
Molecule: non-coding RNA, 3481 nt
Organism: Solanum lycopersicum (tomato)
Lineage: Eukaryota; Viridiplantae; Streptophyta; Magnoliopsida; Solanales; Solanaceae
Source: Rfam